Amaranthus tricolor (Joseph's coat) is the source of this 2143-nucleotide long non-coding RNA. RefSeq lists it as uncharacterized. NCBI's taxonomy places the organism in Eukaryota, Viridiplantae, Streptophyta, Magnoliopsida, Caryophyllales, Amaranthaceae. The record is from RefSeq and is a predicted model, not a curated record. The transcript has 2 exons.
AAUACAUUUGAAAACUAAUAAAUCACAUAACUUAUGGCACGUGUCAUUAAUCUAACCAUAGGAUUUCCUUCUCAUCACACAAACCAACGAUUAUCACAAUUCUCUCUUCAAAAAAGAGUUUAAAUGCGAUGGCAAAACUAAAAUUGAAAGACACAAACAAAACCCUAUUUCCCCAAUUUUCCCUUCUACAAUUUGAGACUUUUUCGUAUUCUUUUCCAAAUCUAAUUUCCACCCUUUUCAUUUUUUUCAAAGCAAUUUGCAACCCUUUUCAUCUUUUGUGAAUAAACCCUAUAUUUGUUUUCAAUUUUUUUCUGGGUUUUUAGUGUUCAUGACAAUGUCUAAAGUUGUUAGCAAGUAUAGUGUUUUCUCUUCUACAAUUUCCCAUCAUCAUAAUGAUCAUAACAAAUGUAGAAAUUUUCCCAUGAAAUUUUCAGUUUCUGUUGGAAAACAAGGAAAAUUAGUUGGUUUUUCUUCUCUGAGGAGUAGUUUUGGUGGUGUUAGAACUGUUGUUGAUCAAAAUGGUAGCGUUUGGUCUCAUAAGAGGAACCCUCAAUCAAUUCAUGCUAAGUAGCAUAUCAAGGCUAGCAUAUGUAUGGGAUCACACAUGGAAGUUACAUUCUGAAUAUAUGUUAAAUAAACAAAGAAGCUUAUUACAAAUGCCAGGUAAUAUAUAUUCACGGUCUUUUAUGCUUAUUGUUUACUUAAAAUGUAAGUUAAUUGUAUGAUAAAUUUUUAUCAAAUUUAUGCACUUACAUGAUAAAUUUGAACCUCAUGGAUGAUCAAUUAAAGAAUUAUGCUAUUUCUACUAUUAAGGAGAUGCUUGGAAAGAAUGAAAUUUAUUUGAUGAAUAUAUGUCUUGAGAUGUGCCUAAGUGAUAUUUUCAUCAAAUAUGCUCAAGUGGCUUUGCAUCUUUGUGAUUUCUAAAGGGGAGGACCACACAUUCAAUAUUUAGAAUACCACUUAAUGUUACUAAAGAUUUAAUAUGUAGAAGCAUAGAACCUAAUAGUAAGUUGAUAGGCCUACUUAAAGAACCAAGUUUAACAUUUAGAACAAAGCUCCAAUGACUCAUAAGCAUUGCAUUGAAAGCCCUAAACAUGAGUGUACACGAUGACAUUCAUUAUCUACGACAAGGCAUCCAAAUUAAGCUUCAGAUACAAGGCCAUUGUUUUCGGUGGUGAUUUUAGGCUAUUUUGUCAAUCAUUUCGAAGGGUACAAGACAAGAUAUUGUCUUCGGCGCUAACUUUUCAAAGGUUUGGAAUGAUUGCAAGGUAUUACGUCCAUGAGAAUACGAUCGGGAUUAGACAAUGUUUAUGAACUACGAGAUCUUGAAUAUUGGAUUCUCAAAAAGAUGUAGAUAGAAAGCUUGGAGGACCUAACAAUGGAUAAGAACUAUCUACAUACCUGAAGAUCUAUUGAUUAAAGAUGCAUAUGAUCAAAUGGAUGCAAUUGUCGAUUUUGCUUAUCUUGGAAUUCGUGAGGGCUCAAUUGACAGUUCGUACUUUUACGAGAUGGCAGUAUAAGCACCAACAAAUAGAAUUGUUGAUAAGGAUAAUGAACAUGUAGUGUCCCUUUUUUCAGGAAAAGAUAGGUUGUACGUGUGUUCAGAUUCAAUAUCCAACUCUAACUGUAACUGUUAUAGCAACGACGAUGCAUUUUAAUUGAGUUUCUCAACUCAAUACGUGCAUAUAGAUUUCUCAAAACAUAAGUUAUUGUUAAAACUUGAUGCUUCAGCCUCCAACAAUAAUGCUCAUAAACAAAGAUCAUUUAGCUGGCUUAUCCAAUGGUAUACGCUAAUUAAUUAGUUGAUCAUUUGGACGAUCAAGUUAUAAAAGCAGCUGUUAUAUUCGAAUCUAACAUUUGUGAUAAAAUUUCAUUCCAAGGUUACACUAACACCUUUAGAUAACUCUAAGGGGGUGUUUGGUAUGGAAAGAGAAAAUGUAAGGGAAAGGGAAUUAAUAAAGAGGGGUAAGGGUAAAGGUAAGGGUUAUGGUUAUAUGUUGUUUGGUAUAACAUUGUAAGGAAACACUUAUUUACGUUUCCCUUACUUAUUGUUUGGUAUAAGUACUGUUUUAUAGCUCUUGUUUAUCUUUUGUAAACUUUGGUUGUAUAUAUUUUGUUAUGAGGCCUCGUGUCCUCUCUUGUA